RNAcentral lists this ribosomal RNA (460 nucleotides) under uncultured bacterium. Its description in RNAcentral is "partial 16S ribosomal RNA". It matches the Rfam family "Bacterial small subunit ribosomal RNA", at positions 338 to 795 of the family's 1533-position model. The record is from RNAcentral.
CCUACGGGAGGCAGCAGUGAGGAAUAUUGGUCAAUGGGCGCGAGCCUGAACCAGCCAAGUAGCGUGAAGGAUGACUGCCCUACGGGUUGUAAACUUCUUUUAUAAAGGCAUAAAGUGAGGCACGUGAGCCUUUUUGUAUGUAUUUUAUGAAUAAGGAUCGGCGAACUCUGUGCCAGCAGCCGCGGUAAUACGGAGGAUCCGAGCGUUAGCCGGAUUGAGUGGGUUUAAAGGGAGCGUAGAUGGGUUGUUAAGUCAGUUGUGAAAGGUUGCGGCUCAACCGUAAAAUUGCGAUUGAUACUGGCAGCCUUGAGUACAGUUGAGGUAGGCGGAAUUCGUGGUGUAGCGGUGAAAUGCUUAGAUAUCACGAAGAACUCCGAUUGCGAAGGCAGCUUACUAAACUGCCACUGACAUUGAUGCUCGAAAGUGUGGGUAUCAAACAGGAUUAGAUACCCCUGUAGUC